ACUCCUACGGGAGGCAGCAGUGGGGAAUUUUGCACAAUGGGGGAAACCCUGAUGCAGCGACGCCGCGUGAUUUAGAAGGCCUUCGGGUUGUAAAAAUCUUUUGUACAGGAAGAAAAUGACGGUACUGUCCGAAUAAGGUCCGGCUAAUUACUUGCCAGCAGCCGCGGUAAU
RNAcentral lists this ribosomal RNA (171 nucleotides) under uncultured bacterium. RNAcentral describes it as "partial 16S ribosomal RNA". It matches the Rfam family "Bacterial small subunit ribosomal RNA", at positions 335 to 524 of the family's 1533-position model. The record is from RNAcentral.